AUGUGGAGCGCUUAGAAGUGAGAAUGCCGGUGUGAGUAGCGAAAGACGGGUGAGAAUCCCGUCCACCGAUUGACUAAGGUUUCCAGAGGAAGGCUCGUCCGCUCUGGGUUAGUCGGGUCCUAAGCUGAGGCCGACAGGCGUAGGCGAUGGAUAACAGGUUGAUAUUCCUGUACCACCUAUAAUCGUUUUAAUCGAUGGGGGGACGCAGUAGGAUAGGCGAAGCGUGCGAUUGGAUUGCACGUCUAAGCAGUAAGGCUGAGUAUUAGGCAAAUCCGGUACUCAUUAAGGCUGAGCUGUGAUGGGGAGAAGACAUUGUGUCUUCGAGUCGUUGAUUUCACACUGCCGAGAAAAGCCUCUAGAUAGAAAAUAGGUGCCCGUACCGCAAACCGACACAGGUAGUCAAGAUGAGAAUUCUAAGGUGAGCGAGCGAACUCUCGUUAAGGAACUCGGCAAAAUGACCCCGUAACUUCGGGAGAAGGGGUGCUCUUUAGGGUUAACGCCCAGAAGAGCCGCAGUGAAUAGGCCCAAGCGACUGUUUAUCAAAAACACAGGUCUCUGCUAAACCGUAAGGUGAUGUAUAGGGGCUGACGCCUGCCCGGUGCUGGAAGGUUAAGAGGAGUGGUUAGCUUCUGCGAAGCUACGAAUCGAAGCCCCAGUAAACGGCGGCCGUAACUAUAACGGUCCUAAGGUAGCGAAAUUCCUUGUCGGGUAAGUUCCGACCCGCACGAAAGGCGUAACGAUUUGGGCACUGUCUCAACGAGAGACUCGGUGAAAUCAUAGUACCUGUGAAGAUGCAGGUUACCCGCGACAGGACGGAAAGACCCCGUGGAGCUUUACUGUAGCCUGAUAUUGAAAUUCGGCACAGCUUGUACAGGAUAGGUAGGAGCCUUUGAAACGUGAGCGCUAGCUUACGUGGAGGCGCUGGUGGGAUACUACCCUAGCUGUGUUGGCUUUCUAACCCGCACCACUUAUCGUGGUGGGAGACAGUGUCAGGCGGGCAGUUUGACUGGGGCGGUCGCCUCCUAAAAGGUAACGGAGGCGCUCAAAGGUUCCCUCAGAAUGGUUGGAAAUCAUUCAUAGAGUGUAAAGGCAUAAGGGAGCUUGACUGCGAGACCUACAAGUCGAGCAGGGUCGAAAGACGGACUUAGUGAUCCGGUGGUUCCGCAUGGAAGGGCCAUCGCUCAACGGAUAAAAGCUACCCCGGGGAUAACAGGCUUAUCUCCCCCAAGAGUUCACAUCGACGGGGAGGUUUGGCACCUCGAUGUCGGCUCAUCGCAUCCUGGGGCUGUAGUCGGUCCCAAGGGUUGGGCUGUUCGCCCAUUAAAGCGGUACGCGAGCUGGGUUCAGAACGUCGUGAGACAGUUCGGUCCCUAUCCGUCGUGGGCGUAGGAAAUUUGAGAGGAGCUGUCCUUAGUACGAGAGGACCGGGAUGGACAUACCUCUGGUGUACCAGUUGUCGUGCCAACGGCAUAGCUGGGUAGCUAUGUGUGGACGGGAUAAGUGCUGAAAGCAUCUAAGCAUGAAGCCCCCCUCAAGAUGAGAUUUCCCAACUUCGGUUAUAAGAUCCCUCAAAGAUGAUGAGGUUAAUAGGUUCGAGGUGGAAGCAUGGUGACAUGUGGAGCUGACGAAUACUAA
This 1635-nucleotide ribosomal RNA is filed under the name Staphylococcus aureus. RNAcentral describes it as "partial 23S ribosomal RNA". It matches the Rfam family "Bacterial large subunit ribosomal RNA", at positions 1271 to 2904 of the family's 2925-position model. The record is from RNAcentral. Lineage: Bacteria; Bacillati; Bacillota; Bacilli; Caryophanales; Staphylococcaceae.